Molecule: ribosomal RNA, 1321 nt
Filed under: uncultured bacterium
Lineage: Bacteria
Description: bacterial SSU rRNA
Rfam family: Bacterial small subunit ribosomal RNA
Source: RNAcentral
GGCGGCGUGCUUAACACAUGCAAGUCGAACGAUUAAACCGCCCUCGGGCGGACAUAGAGUGGCGAACGGGUGAGUAACACGUGACCAACCUGCCCCGCGCUCCGGGACAACCGCUGGAAACGGCGGCUAAUACCGGAUACUCCGGGAGGGCCCCAUGGCCCUGCCGGGAAAGCCGAGACGGCGCGGGAUGGGGUCGCGGCCCAUUAGGUAGACGGCGGGGUAACGGCCCACCGUGCCCGCGAUGGGUAGCCGGACUGAGAGGUCGACCGGCCACAUUGGGACUGAGAUACGGCCCAGACUCCUACGGGAGGCAGCAGUGGGGAAUUUUGCGCAAUGGGGGAAACCCUGACGCAGCAACGCCGCGUGCGGGACGAAGGCCCUCGGGUUGUAAACCGCUUUCAGCAGGGAAGAUCCAAGACGGUACCUGCAGAAGAAGCUCCGGCUAACUACGUGCCAGCAGCCGCGGUAAUACGUAGGGGGCGAGCGUUAUCCGGAUUCAUUGGGCGUAAAGCGUGCGUAGGCGGCCGCCUAAGCGGGACCUCUAACCCCGGGGCUCAACCCCGGGCCGGGUCCCGGACUGGGCGGCUCGAGUGCGGUAGAGGAGAGCGGAAUUCCCGGUGUAGCGGUGGAAUGCGCAGAUAUCGGGAAGAACACCGAUGGCGAAGGCAGCUCUCUGGGCCGUCACUGACGCUGAGGCGCGAAAGCUGGGGGAGCGAACAGGAUUAGAUACCCUGGUAGUCCCAGCCGUAAACGAUGGGCGCUAGGUGUGGGGGGACGAUCCCUCCGUGCCGCAGCCAACGCAUUAAGCGCCCCGCCUGGGGAGUACGGCCGCAAGGCUAAAACUCAAAGGAAUUGACGGGGGCCCGCACAAGCAGCGGAGCAUGUGGCUUAAUUCGAAGCAACGCGAAGAACCUUACCAGGGCUUGACAUGCCGAUGAAGCCGGGGAGACCCGGUGGCCGAGAGGAGUCGGCGCAGGUGGUGCAUGGCUGUCGUCAGCUCGUGUCGUGGGAUGUUGGGUUAAGUCCCGCAACGAGCGCAACCCCCGCCCCGUGUUGCCAGCAUUCAGUUGGGGACUCGCGGGGGACUGCCGGCGUCAAGCCGGAGGAAGGUGGGGACGACGUCAAGUCAUCAUGCCCCUUAUGCCCUGGGCUGCACACGUGCUACAAUGGCCGGUACAGAGGGUUGCCACCCCGCGAGGGGGAGCGGAUCCCGGAAAGCCGGUCCCAGUUCGGAUCGCAGGCUGCAACCCGCCUGCGUGAAGCCGGAGUUGCUAGUAAUCGCGGAUCAGCACGCCGCGGUGAAUACGUUCCCGGGCCUUGU